CCAAUCUGAACCUGCCUUGUUGGUCCGGAGACCUCAGGCUAAUGCCACAAUCACUAAACCUGUAUAUACCCAGUCGUAACCUCUGAGCUCACGGGUGGGCAAGCCCAACCACUUUUCCGGAAAAGAACACCCCCUGCGGUGGAUCAGACCGCUGGUGUUCGUGAAAUGCGAACUAGUGGUGACGAUCGAUGCUGUUAUGCUCAAUAGCCAACCGUCGGCAACCAGCCGACA
RNAcentral lists this long non-coding RNA (231 nucleotides) under Ananas comosus (pineapple). Its description in RNAcentral is "long non-coding RNA (ACOM_LNC039209)". Lineage: Eukaryota; Viridiplantae; Streptophyta; Magnoliopsida; Poales; Bromeliaceae. The record is from RNAcentral.